CACCGCAAAAGUCACAAAAACUGAACGUCUUCUGCACCGUCAAUAAUAUCAACUUUGUGGUGUCACAAAUUCAUUAACGUUUGUCAUAACUACUUUGGUUGGUUAUCUAAAAGGCGAAGGGAAAUUGAAUAGAGAUUCAAUAAUUGAACUCAAUUCUCAUAUCACUUGGCUCAACCUGCAUUAUACUCAACAAAUCAUCGACGUAAUGGUUCAAAAUGAACAUUAUUAAUCAUCUUGAUCAUCAUAAUUCAUGGACUAGGAUUCUGAAGCCUGUUGCCUGUUAUUUGGUGGUCAUUCCUGUUUCUUAUUCCAUGGAAGUUAAAACUUGGAAGGAUGCAGUUGAGUGCAGCUCAGGAAACAUGCACAUGACUGUACAUGUGCAGCAGAUGGGCGCAUGCACACCAACAGCUACUAGUGCGCAGCUCUCUCUGCGCAUCCACCAAGUGCAACCUCGUCUCUUUGAUAAUGGACUGCCACAGGACAAGGUGCCAACCGCCCAUCCCGUGCCUGCCGACCAAAGAUAAGAUUAUGUGAUAAAAAUAAAUAGAGUUAAUUCAGUUUAACCUUCCGGCAGUCGUGUUGUAAAAAGUGCAACAGUUGAUAAUUUCUCAGUUUUAAAAGCCUAAUUUUACUUUGCGGGAUUUCGGGCUAUCAUCUAUGCCUUCAACUACAUCUCUCCCAAUCAAAAUUGAAGCUAAUUUAUAUUAAUAUAUUAUGCAUGUAAUGCUCUAAAAUAUUUAUUUGUAUAUAUAGAGUAUAAAAUACAGUUAAUACAGUGUACAGUGUAAUACAGUCGGCUUCGCCUCGGGCAUCAAACUUUCCCCUUCAGGGAGAAAAAGCAUUUUUCACUCGUUAUGUUCACAUUUUUUCUCCACCUACAUCUAUAAAAAACACAUAUAUAAUAAUUUUAAUAACUUAGGUGACCCAUAACAAUAUGUUACAACAUAACUUACGAAUUAAUCUGUUCUUGUCGUUCUGAGUUCUGGCAGAGUUAACUGCCGACUGCGCUAGUGCUAUCUGUAACAAUGAAGGGAUUCAAAACAAUAAUGGCCGACUCCAAAUUUCAGAUUUUAUUAGCUGGUGAGAAAUAUUCGUUGGCUAGUAUUUUGAAUAACAUGAAAUAUUUUCAAAUAUAUACAUUUUUAUAAUCUACUAAUGUCAAGUAUGUAAUAAGUUUAGUAUACAAACAUAUAUUCCAUAAGUUGAUCAAAUUUCUGGUUCAGUUCUUGAAUUUAGUUGGCUCAAUGACAACACUGUAUGCUUCCUCAUUUGAGCUUCGACCUUCCAACCUAUUUCUAAUGUAAGUUUUUAAAACAGAGUUGCUUCCCAUGUUAUUUAAAUGGAGUUACUUUUACACCCUUGGGAGUUUUUUUAUUUUUAGACUCAAGCGCGAAAAAGUGACAUUUUACUAUUAUGCUCCAGGAAGUACAGUAAGUACUACAGACAGACAGUAGGUGGAGGAAAAAUAUAUUUAUCAUCUCAAUUACUUUUAUGACACUAUUUGGAGUGCAGUCUGAAUUGAGUAUCAAAUGCAACUUUUGCUAUAAAUUGGCAUUAUAAAUAUCAAUUUUUAUAAUAAAUAUAUUUAUUUCAUAAUAAAACUGACUGUUCAAAUAGUAUAACACGUGAUCACUCGUGUUAUUCUAAUGGACGCGAUUGCCGGAAGGUUAAUGAAAGAAUACACAGUCGCAAAUGACUGUAUAUCUUAGCAGUUCUUCAACGUAGAGCAUUGUCUUUGCUCUCUUCCAUUUUACAUACUGUUGUAACUGAAACAAUUCCAUACUGCAAAAUGGAUAGUCUUCCUGCACUGGCUACAGAAGUAAACCUUGUGUGUUGGCAUUGAGUCGCAGAAUAACAUAUAUUGUUUUUAAAAGUUUCACAUAGAGGAUCGAUUAAUUUAUUCAGGGUGCUCUCUCAAGCCCUGACGAAUUUCAGUAAAAUUCAGUUCCAGCCCCCGCCCCCAUAAAUUAAGUUCAAGUAUAAAAUGAAAUUUUAUUGAACUCAAGACCACCGAAUGAUAAGGUAUUCCACGUUGAUGAUUUCGAAAUGAAGAUUCUUCAGAAUGGUUAUUGUCCCUUCUGUAUGACCAAGCCAGACAGCUAUAAUAAUGAAAUGAAAAAGAUUUUAUUCAUCCAAAAACUAGUACAAUAACAGGAAAAUCUGCCUCUUAUCAUCUAAACAUAGAAAUGUACAGUAAUAAUGUUGUAACAAAAUGAUAAGAUUAUUUUAUAAGAAUGAAUAAAACAAAAAAUGCCCCGAGGCCUAGCCUGUGUGGGGUGGUAUGCAUAAAUCUUGAAACUAGAGCUAAGAACUACGUCGAUGGGUAAUUUGAUGCGACCGACUGGUCUCUAAAUAUUACAAAUAUACUGCUAGAAUGACAUAAAUUUGAAGAAACAAAGUGGACUUCACAUAAAUAAGCUAUUAUAAUAGGAUAUACAAUUCUUAAAAUACACUGACUACCAAAUUUUAUCAUAUAAAUAUCAUAUAUCAUAUCAUAUUUAUCAUAUAGGGGUAUGAUGAUGUAUGAUGAAAUUAUUUUACAUAAAGAAAUUCCAAGGGGAAAAACAUAAAUAUACAAAUACAAAGUAUACGCCCAAUAAUUCAGUGUAAGAGACCAUAUGCAGAUAUAAUGACAUUGAAUUGCAAAGUACAUCAGGUUGAGUUAUAUCAAGGAUAUGAAAAAGUAUUAGUAUCCUCUAAUUGCAUAAGGUACUCCUUCACUUCUUUAAGAAAAGUGUGUUUAUUAUUCAAUGAUUUUAGUGUAAUAGGGAGUAUAUUAUAAAACUUUGGAGCCAAGAAGGAAUAACAUUUUUUGAAUAAAGUUAAAUUUGGUCUUGGGAUAUUAUCAUCCAAUCGA
Molecule: long non-coding RNA, 2857 nt
Filed under: Nilaparvata lugens (brown planthopper)
Lineage: Eukaryota; Metazoa; Arthropoda; Insecta; Hemiptera; Delphacidae
Description: uncharacterized LOC111050243, transcript variant X2
Source: RNAcentral